RNAcentral lists this ribosomal RNA (1098 nucleotides) under Amphiporus formidabilis. RNAcentral's name for it is "16S ribosomal RNA". The stretch from base 710 to 1056 matches the Rfam family "Bacterial large subunit ribosomal RNA", at positions 2049 to 2651 of the family's 2925-position model. The record is from RNAcentral. Lineage: Eukaryota; Metazoa; Nemertea; Enopla; Monostilifera; Amphiporidae.
AAAGUUUUUAUUGUUUUUUUUGUUUUUUCGAAAUAUUGUUUUUUAAAAGUUUUAACUUUUUUAUAUUGUUACUGUUAAGGGUGAGCAUAAGUUUGUUAUAAGAUUUGAUGGAGGCUUUUACCUUUUGUAUCAUGGUUUUACUAGAAUAGAGUAGUGUUUAUUUUCUAGAAAGAAAAAGAAACUUAUAAGGAUGUUUAGCACUUCGGGAAAAUUAUUUCAAUAAUUUCCUUUUACCUUUAGGUUGUAAUGAGAUGUUUCGAUUUUUUUGAUAGCUAGUUGGUCUUUUAAGCUUUUAAGAGGUUAAAAAAGGGGGUAAUCUCUUUUUUUUUGAAUAAAUUUUUUGUUUGAAGAAUAAACUUAGGAAUAAAAGUUUCUUUUGUUUAAAAAUGUGUAAUAACUAAUAUUUCAGUUUACUCAUAUUUUUCUUUUUUAGAGGCCUUUUAUUGAUUUUUUUUGUAAGAAAAAGAAUGUUAAAAUUAGUAUUUUGUUUUUUUCUUUUUUAUGAAUUCGGCAAAAAGACUUCUGACUGUUUUCAAAAACAUAGUCUUUUGGUGUUUUAUAAAAGAUGUUUUCUGCUCAGUGGUAAAUAAAUAGCCGCGGUAAUUUGACCGUGCAAAGGUAGCAUAAUCAUUUGCUCUAUAAUUGAGGGCUGGAAUGAAUGGGAUAACAAGAUGUCUGCUUUAUUUUGGAGAAAAAAAGAAUUUGCUUUUUUAGUGAAGAAGCUAGGAUUUAGUUGGGGGACAAGAAGACCCUUUUGAGCUUUAUUAAUGAUGUUUUUYUUAAUUAUUUUUAAUUUGGUUGGGGCGACCAAGGAAGAGAGGAUCUUCCUUUUUUACUUUGAUCCGGAGGUUUCGAGUGAUGGACUAAGCUACCAAAGGGAUAACAGCGUAAUUUUUUUUAUGAGUUCUUAUUAAAAAAAAAGAUUGCGACCUCGAUGUUGACUUAUGGUUACCUUUUGGUGUAGCAGCUAUUCGGGUAGGUCUGUUCGACCUUUAAAACCUUACGUGAGUUGAGUUCAGACCGGCGUGAGCCAGGUUGGUUUCUAUCUUCAAUAAUUUAUAAAAUUCUCUAGUACGAAAGGAUUGAGUAUUUUUUUGU